This 1938-nucleotide long non-coding RNA is filed under the name Coturnix japonica (Japanese quail). RNAcentral's name for it is "lncRNA (ENSCJPG00005020400.1)". Lineage: Eukaryota; Metazoa; Chordata; Aves; Galliformes; Phasianidae. The record is from RNAcentral.
CCGCAUACCCCCCGCGGAGAGGUGUACGUUACGGUGCUACGGAGGCCUUACUGGUCCUAACGGCUGCUCGGGAAGGGUGAGGGAUGUAUCCUUGUCUGCUCCUGGCUUUUACCCUCUAAUUCAGGGCUAUGCUGGGUCCUGAGAAGCCUUAAAGCCAGGCCAGCACCUCAAGCUCCGGUUCCUGUGUGCUGCUCAGCCCAGACCUGCAACCGUCAGGUCACUUCAGGUUGGAAGGAUGCGGCCCAGUGCCCGCCCGCAACGAGGAGUUGCCUUAUAUCACAUAGGAAAAAACUCUUUCUUUCAGGUUCCUGCAUUGCAGAAGUGCCAGCUUGGUAUUUUAUACAGCAGGCAGCAGGUUGAUGUGGGUGCAGAUUGGAGCUGAAAUCCUAAUACAUACAAAAUACAGCCCUUCUUCUCUUCCCAGCUAAAUAACAAAGUACAGGUAAAUAACAAUAAAGGUAAAUAACAGGUAAAUAAAGGUAAAUAACAAAGUACACUGAAAUGUGUACUGAAUUCCUGACUUUUUGGUCAUUGCAGCUUAACUCUUAGCAGUGCUCCUUUCUCAGUUUCCAGUAUGACUUCUCCAGAAGAGCCUACAAAUUGCUGUGGGGCUUGUUAAGGACUUUAAUGAGCUGCUGAGGAAGACAGCGGGGAUUUGUGUGCAAGGUCAGUGGUUGCAAUCCACCACAGCCUUUGCCACAACCAGCUAAUGGCUGCUAAAUGGCAGUCACAGCAAGUUAGUCAAGGUCUGAAGAGGCCAUGCAAAUUCAGCAGUUCCUGGAGGUUAAGAGCACAGACAAGAUUGCUCGUGAAUACUUUCACCCUGUUGUGAAUGCCAAAAGUCUUCAGAGGAGGUCACUGCACAGCACUGCAGAUGCAAAGAUGAAGCUUCAGGAAAGGAAACCACUCAGAUGUCGAUAAGUGAUGUGCCAGAUCAGGUUUGACAAAGACAGCUCCUGGCCUUCCUGGGGCUGCUGAUGUUCAUUAGCAUUGUGAGAUACCUCUGAGCACACUGAGGUGGAGCUGCUGAAGAUCCUGCAAGGCAGUGCGUCACCAGUUUCAGCUGAACAAGGCUAAUACUCAGCCACUCAUUCCUAAUCUGCACAGUGACUCAUCCGCUCCCAGCUCUGAUGUUUGUUUUUUUACCAUACUUCUCCCUACCCUUUAUGGCGAUUCAAUUUUCUGCCUCUUUAUCAUCCUCUUUCAUCACAUAUAUAUGGCAGAACACACCUGGAAACAAGACCUGCAGCACAGGCAGCUGAUCUAGGAAAGCAGGGUCGCAAUGGGUUCUUGAGUGAGAGUGAGCCGAUGACUGAAUGUGAACACCUGCUGUAAAGCAAUGGCUAAUGGUCUAGGGCAAGCAUUAAGUGUGUAAGCAAAGAAGUGCCUCUGCAGGUGAAAUUCAGUUUACUGAAUCUAGACCUAAUUUUCCACGUUGGCAACCUGAUGAUGAAAAAUCAGGGGGGGUGCAGGCAGGACAUCCAGAAGUGACUUGACACAUUGAGAAAACACAGUGUAAUUGAAAUUCAUAAAAAGCUCUGUUUAGUUCAUCAUGAGCAAAAGGUGACUUAACUUGGAUGUAUGAAUACAUUUAUAAGCAUAAGAUAGUUAGUGUUAAAAGGCUCUUUAAUCCAGUGCAGAAAGGCUCAGCAAGACUCAAUGGCUGCAAGCUGAAGCCAGACAAAUUCAAAUGAGCAAUUAGGCAUACAUUUGAUAAUGGGGAACAAUUAACCACUGUAACAAACUACCAAGGGAAUCUUCAUCAGAAGAUCCCUUCAGUUCCCAGACCAGAUGCCUGGACAGUCUAGCCAGGAACAAAAAACUGAAGUACCAAGUCUGAAUUCAACGGUCUGUGACCUACAGGAGCUUAGAGAGUUUGAGCUAAUGAUGCUUUCUGUUUUUGGUUAAGGACCUAGGGAUCUUCCUCUUUCCUAGUUU